UAGAAUAGGGGAGCUUAACUUG
This 22-nucleotide microRNA is filed under the name Drosophila simulans. RNAcentral's name for it is "Dsi-Mir-964-v2_5p (mature (guide))". The record is from RNAcentral. Lineage: Eukaryota; Metazoa; Arthropoda; Insecta; Diptera; Drosophilidae.